RNAcentral lists this unclassified non-coding RNA (1401 nucleotides) under Dermacentor andersoni. RNAcentral describes it as "uncharacterized LOC126527671". The record is from RNAcentral. Lineage: Eukaryota; Metazoa; Arthropoda; Arachnida; Ixodida; Ixodidae.
GCGAGUGCCCUAACGCCGGUAUCAUUUUCUUACGUCUCCCUCGGAUUCGCUUAGACUUGAAAACGUGAGCUGUUGGAACGCCAGCAAUGGCUGUGGCUUCGAGGGUCCUGUCGGAGAACUGCUGGAACACUUUGAGAAGCACUGCUCCUUCCAUGCCACCACCUGUCCCCGCUGCCAGGAGACUGUGACGCGCGGCAACCUGCCAAGUCACUACGUUGCUGGAUGCGACGUCGUCUCCAAGCCGCGCAUAGACGGCGGAGGCGACACGGCUGUCCUGACGCAGACGGACGAACUGCUGAGCCAAAAGGCAGGUCAAUGCUCGUACCACGACUUGCUAACUUCCAUACAGAGCCAAAUCAACGAGCUGGCGGAGGCGCUCACUGGCUUCAACGCUGCGAUCGUGGAGCGCGACCAUCGGGAACUAGAGCUUCUUCCCGGCGCCACCACUGAACAAGGAGCACAGCUGGGCACAGAUCUAGACACCAUCCUGGCGGCGUUUACAAAAACUAGCGCUGCACUUACUGAGCGUUUCGACAGUAUGAACUGCUCUCUGCUUCAGGAAGUGGCCUCGGCCCUUACGCGGGCCCCGGGUGGCGAGACACUCUGUGGUAGUCCCACUAGAGUAGCAGUGUGGGAGCAACAGGGAUGCGGGGAUUCUGGCGUGAUUAGUGGCGCUGUGUCGGGCGUAGACGUGGGUGCCCUGCUGGCGGCGUUAAGCGAGAAGAUUACGCAGCGCCUAGACAACUUGAGCCACUUUCUUUGCCAUGAGGGGACGAUCUCGCGGUUGCCAGCAGACGGAGCUAAAAGCAAAACGGUCGCGGCUAAAAGUGUACAGACUUGCCCGGACGAGAGUGCGUUGUCACCAGCCGUAUUCAGCAACAGCAGUGGCCCCAACAAGGAACUCGUGGCUCUCGUUGUAGUUCUGGAUAAGUGGCAAAACGAUCCUCUCUGCUAUCAAAUGACGAGUGGCAUUGAUGUCGUUAUUGGCAACAUUAGUGCUAAAGUGGAGGUGUCAUUUUAUGUGUUGAGAGGGGCAAACCUGGUUGCGGUGUACGCAAAAUUCUACGGGAGGGACGUGGACAAAGUGUACAGAAACGUGCCGCUUAUACGUAAACUUUGCUCUAACGACCGCCACUCACCUCAUGUCAAGGCAUGGAUUAUGCGACGGGCAUAUUACCAAACUGGAUGUCCAAAUUUCAAUUCGAUGAAUGGGGUUCUCCUGUUUGUGUGCAACCUGAUGGAGCCUGGAGAGAGUGAUGAAAAGGGAAAGAUAGAAUUCAUCAUCGAAUAUGAUUUAACCACUGAAGAACAAUGAACCACCAUUUAUCAUUCGGAUGUCUCAUGCCUUUUCAAGGAAUAAAGCAAAUACAAAGCUAAUAAAGGAAAUAUAAGACCAGCCUA